CGGCUUAAGUUUGAUCCUGGCUCAGAUUGAACGCUGGCGGCAGGCCUAACACAUGCAAGUCGAGCGGUAGGGAAGCUUGCUUCUCACGAGCGGCGGACGGGUGAGUAAUGUAUGGGGAUCUGCCCGAUAGAGGGGGAUAACUACUGGAAACGGUAGCUAAUACCGCAUAAUCUCUAAGGAGCAAAGCAGUUCGUUGCGCUAUCGGA
This 206-nucleotide ribosomal RNA is filed under the name uncultured Providencia sp. RNAcentral's name for it is "partial 16S ribosomal RNA". It matches the Rfam family "Bacterial small subunit ribosomal RNA", at positions 1 to 225 of the family's 1533-position model. The record is from RNAcentral. Lineage: Bacteria; Pseudomonadati; Pseudomonadota; Gammaproteobacteria; Enterobacterales; Morganellaceae.